CAUGUAUGUAUAACAUUUAAAUUUUGAUUCAAUUGUAUAAAAUUGCAAAAUUACAAAAUUCACCCCAAAGCAUACUUUGGAUCUUCUAGUUUGCCACCACAGACUUCUGUUGCAAUACUGUUUCACUUUUUCAUCAUCACUAUCUUUCUGCUGCCAUUUUUGUGUCGUCAUCGCUGUCAACCACUGCCAACUCGCUGUCAAACCAUUGUCAACCACCGCUAAACCAUCACUG
Molecule: long non-coding RNA, 232 nt
Filed under: Gossypium barbadense (sea-island cotton)
Lineage: Eukaryota; Viridiplantae; Streptophyta; Magnoliopsida; Malvales; Malvaceae
Description: long non-coding RNA (GBAR_LNC019204)
Source: RNAcentral